This 7730-nucleotide unclassified non-coding RNA is filed under the name Leishmania donovani. RNAcentral's name for it is "gene:LdHU3.01.0850(CDS-product:Meckel_syndrome_ty pe_6_protein_putative)". The record is from RNAcentral. Lineage: Eukaryota; Euglenozoa; Kinetoplastea; Trypanosomatida; Trypanosomatidae.
CACACCUUCACGCAGGCACCUAUACACGCCCAUAGACAGGGGAUGGGCAGAGAGAGCGGGUGGCAGAGACCAGGCUCCGCAUCCCCCCCCCCGCAUCUCUCUCGCUCUCACCCCGGCGGCGUCCUCAGCGGCGACCGUCGCAGCCGACGCAGCAAGUCGGCAUACACGCGGACAGAGCAGACGGAAAGGAACGCUUCGUUGUAUUCACGCGCAGCUCCUUCUGCUAGCUGGCCGACAACUGGCGCGACUCGUGUGCCAUGAGCGUGCCGAUCUCGUCGUCGCAGUCGGCAGGCGCCGCUGCUGCUGCUGCUGCUGCUGCCCCCAACGGCAGCGUCAGUGGCGUCCUCAGUCUCGCCUCCCCGACAGUGCAAAAUCAGCGGCAGCAGCAGCCAGCCCUUGUCGCGUCACCGACGGACGUGUUAGCGGCCGGCAGGCAUCCCGCCAGAGGUCCGGACGCCUUCGCACAAGCGCCAGCAAGCGGGUUCUCCUCUACCGCCAUGGAUACUCUCCUGGAAGACCUGCUGCUCGCCAAGGAGCGCACGGCCUACCACCGAGCCGUCGUGACAGAGAUAACGACGACCGCACGGGACGGCUCCGCAACGUACCAUGGCGAGGCCGUCACCUCGCUCCUCCACCUGUCCGUCGCGCCGCGACCGUCAACGCUGCUGCAGCCAGACGCCGUCGAUGCAAGUGCGGCUGUCGGCACCAAUGAGGCUGCACAUACCGCCGCGGCGGACGGCGAUGGUGGUCGAACGGAGCACAUGAAAGGGAAGGAAACGCAGCGCAGCAGCAGCGCCCCGUGCGUGCGGUCGCGGCGUGAGCAGGCGCUCGCUGACAGCAUCAGUAUGAGCAGCCGGCGCAGUAGCGACGGCGAGGAAGGCAACGCUCCGGCCCUGUCCGCCACGGUCUUCGUGCAGCCGCCAUCGGGCACUGAUGAUGCGGAAAGCGUUAGAGAUCGUGUCACUCGUACUCGCCAGCGCCGUCGGCGCGGCGGCAAGGGCAACGCAGCGGGCGUCGUCCCGGCCACAGCACGAGCGAUCGGUGCCGCCGGUGGUGUAGGUGUAGCCGACGGCGCCGCCGCCGCCGCCUCGGCGAGUCUCACUCGCAUCCUGUCACCACAAGCCGCUGCGAUGGAUGCGGACAUCCACAGGGACGGCGACUAUCUGCCCGACGGCGAGGAUGCCGAGCGGGUCAUCGCGGAGCGGAUGCGGGUUCUCCAGGCACAGCAGUUAAGCGGCGCGACGGGCGCCGAGGGCUCUUUGUGCGGCACAGCCGCCUUUGUACGUCCAUCAGCCCGCUUCAGCCGCGGCCCGGUACCCGCCUGGCUGAGAGAGUACAGCGACCUCCUGCUCUUCGACCGCCAUCACCUCGACCGCGACGUAGCCGCAGCGCUACAGUGCAGCGGCGUAGGCACAACUUGGAGGCGCUGCUGCGCAAGUAACGACUCCGAGGGACUUGUGCAGCUGCCCGUCGACGCGGUGGUGUUGCGGCUGCGCAGCGACAUCGCCCGAGUGCGCCGUCUGCGCGAUGAGCUGCGCCGCGACGGCGGCAUUCGCGUGCUCAUCUCGCUUGGCUCGCGCCCGGCACGGUGUGAGGUGUACCGUCCUGCAGAUCCGGACUGGGGCGCUGCCCCCGCGCCUCCCACGGCAGGCGAGAUCCCUGAGGCGGUCUCGAGAGAGGUGCAAGAGCUCGCCGCAGGUGGGGUGGAGGUGGCUCUGGGUGACACGGACAGAGGUGAGCGUGGUGCUCGACGGGCUGUGCCCCCGUCACCUCCAGCACCACCGCCGUCGACCCCGCCUCUAUCGCGCGCUGUGGAGGCGAAGGACCUGCAGCGCUCACUGCUGGCGCAGACAAUACCAGUCUGGCGCCGCCACGGCGCGGCUGUGAAGCUGCUGACGGAGCUGCUUGACCAUCUCGAGAGCCGACUUCGCGCCUUCGAGGCGCAGCUCAGCGACCCAGCGCAAGGUGUGUUGUUGGACCUUGUCGGCGCUCCUGACUCGGCAGGGGUGGAUGGCACAGUGCAGAGCACAUACCCACCGGCGCUAGAGCGGGCGAUCCGCACGACCAUCACGAACACGAUGCUGAGCGACGUCUUUGCGACGUCCUGGAGCGCGUUGCCGAAUCGCGGGCCCCGGCUCAGUGAGGCUCUGCGGCGGCGGCAGACACCGCUCAUCCACGCGGACUACGUCACCAUGACAGACAUGCGGCCCGUUUACGACUUCACCGCGCUGCAGUCGGUGCAGCGCGUCAGCAGGGCCGCGUCCUCGACGCCAGGGGCAAGCCUCGUCUACGCCGCACACCACCAGCAACAGUGGCGCAGCGGUGGCGGUGGCGGUGGCGGUGUUGCUGCUGCCGUCGGAGGGGACACGCGCAAGUCGUACUCGGUGCACGUCGACUACGUUCGUUUCCAGCCUUCCCUGGAGAGCAUCCGUGGCGCAAGCGCCCUUGGUGCCCAUCUCGGGGUAGGAGACAGCGCGGCGGCAGCGGUGGGUACUGAUGGUGGCGGUGGCGGUGGUGGACGCCGUUCCAGCGUGCUAUCCAGCUCCGAGGAUCCGCUGUCGAGCCUUUUGUUGGGCUCCUCCUCGAACGCGUUCUUGCCUCGCGACACAAACGCCAGCGGCGACGGCACAGCCGCCGACGCUCACGACGCCCUGCUGCUUCAGCAGCAACGCCGCAACGGCAGCCUGCACAGCACCGCAGCGGCCCUGCUGUUCGCGCUGUCCGCGGCAACGGCGCAGCACAACCUCGUGGCCUUCAGCCCGGAAGAGUACCUCACCUCACUGCUGCUGCAGUACUACGAGCAGUAUCGCCUCCUGCAGCUGAACCUGCUCCCUUCCCUCAAGAACCGCUUCUUCUACCAGGAGCAGGUGCUCCAGCUGCAGCGGCAGUCACAGCGUACUAGCGACAUGGACCAGCUUCAGCUGCGACUGGAGUCCCUGGCGAAGACGUCGGCGGACGUGGAGCGCGGCUGCCUCCAUGUGAUGAUCGUCCUGUGGAACUCCGUCCUCAUACUUCGGCGACAGAAGCAGGAGCAAGGGCAGCAUGCGACCGAAAAGCUGGGCGGGGCGACGACAGACGCGCCCAUCAUUGUCGAGAACCAGCACCGGAGCAGCCGCGGCCGUGGGGAGCAGCCCACUGUGACCGCGAUGGCGCAGGAGAUGCGCUCGCAUCCGCCCGUCUUUGGCGCCGAGGUGUCGUCAGCGGCGUCGGAAGAUGAGAUCGCCGUGCAGGUCAACGAUGAGCUCAUCGCCAAUGCACCCGUGGUGCAUCGCGUGGACAACAGUGUCACCUACGGUGGCCGGGCUGACCGCGAUGACGCCAGCCCCGGUUCUCAGCCGCAGCAGCAGGGCAGCUCGCGCGUCUCUAGUCCGCGUUCCUUCGUGCUUUUUCCCGGCUCGCCACCUGCCCAGCCCUCCGCCUCGGCGAGCGCGUCGCCCCUCCUCGCACCGGCAACAAGCGUCUCCUCGGGAGAAGUCGGUGUUGGCGACAGCAGCAAUGAAGGUGAUGGUAGAGGGGCUGUGUCGCCCCCCUGGCCGCGGCCGCGGCCGCAGCGUUUCCGCUUCUUCCUUCGUCGGUACGGCACGGCCGAGGAAACACCGUACGUCGCCGGGGAUGAUCUCCUCCACUACGCUGCCGAGGUGGAGGGUGCGGAUGUGCUGCAGACCGGCAGACAGCCCGGCGAGAGGGGUGGCGGCGCGGCGGCGGUGCCUCCAGUGGCACAGGAUGAGCUCAUGUACUUCCAACUGGUCGUCUUCACCCGCUCGCACGCGGCGAUGGUGCCACAGUACGUUGGUUGCACCACACCGCGCCCCAUGACGGCCGCCAAAGUCGUCUUCUUCAACGAAACCUUCGAGGUGCGUGCGCUGCAUGAGCCGGCGGAGCUGCUGCUGCACCUAAUCCCCGUCACCGCCGGCCCCUCGAAGCACACGGUCGUGUCGACAGUGCGGCUGCAACCGACGCUGGCCCGCACGUACAGCCUGCUGCCGCUGCAGCCGCCGACAGCCUUCGUCUUCCAUGGGCGACUCUUCGCGCAUCAUCAGCGAGCGGCUGCCGGCACCAACGACGCCGCGCCAUCGACAACGACGGCCACCUCGGUGCACGGGGUGCUGGCUGCCUCGACGACGUGGACAGGCAGCCAGGGCAUGGCGGUCGCGCAAAUUGAGCGCCUUUUCCUUGGCGGCGGCAGCAGCGGGCCUGCGGCAGAUCCGCUCGACCCGCAGUACCUCCCGCUACUGUGCACACUGCGCGCCUAUUAUGAAGAGCAGGGCAUGGGCCGCGCUAGCGCAGCCAGCGGUGGCGGUGCCGGUAGGGCCCCGUCGUCGUCGCAUCGCCGGCACUCUGCCGACGGGUCGGCGAGGCUGCAGCGGCAAGUCUCGACGCCGAAUCCCAGAAACGCGCUUGCAGGCAUGCCAGCUGGGCGCGCUGGCAAGGCGCACCUGACCGCGCUCGGUGGGAGUCGCAGAAGCUUCAAACACAUCGCGUUCUCGGGGCAGCUGCUGCAGCGAGUCGGCAGCGCUGUCGGAGCGGCGGCGACGGCGCUGACCGCUCCCGACGGAAUGCGCAGCACGAUGCAAGUGCUCACGGCGGCAGCAGAGGCCGCCGGCGGUGGUUGUGGCGGCCGCGACUGCUACGCCGCGGAUGAUUCUCUGCAGCGCUUGCCGAGUGCUCGGCUCGAGCACCUACGCCGGCGAUGGCUGGCUCACACCAACAAAAUCAAAGCCGUCGACGAGGUCGAGGCGCGUCUCUUCGCGUGUGCGAUGCCGCUGGACGACGCGGAUGUGUAUCAGCUGCAGAAGGCGCUGAAGCGGUCAGUCAGAACAGAAGAGGCGGAGCGGGUGAAGAGCUACGGCGCGGCGGCAGGGGCGCUCUUCAAUGUCCAGCACUACUACUCGGCACCCUCGGCCAUCUCCGGGCUCCCACUGAGCCCGCUACCGCGGGAGACGAAGUUGAAGCUGUGGCAGGAGCGACAGCGGCGGCUGCUGCUCACGCUCAAGGCACGGCAUCACCUGACGGACGCCGAGAAGCUGGAGGCGGUGGUGCGGGUGCCGAAGCUGGUGCUGAAGCUCGUCUUCGACUUUGCGCCGCGCAGUCAGCUGAACCCGCAUCGAAAGGUGCGGCCCAAGACGGAGGACAUCGACCGCGCUCUGCUGGCGCGUCGGCGUGACAGCCACAUCGUCAUCCACAUCAUGAAGGCGCACAACCUGCCUCUGCGCGCCGACGGCACGCCGCUGGAGCCGUUCGUGCAGGCCAGCUUCGUGUCCGAGGUGGCCUACACGCGCAGCGAGGUAGGCAGCAACCCUUCGUGGUUCCAGUCGCUUGAGUUGCCCUUUCAACCGCUGAACUUCGAGGAGGACACGCUCGGCAUGAUCGACGACGACGUUAUCAUUUCGCUCUACGACAAGGUCGAGGUAAAGAUGGCGCCGUCCGCCGCGGCGACGGCGGCCGUGGCGCACGAGACGCACUACCGCACAGAGCGGCGCUUCAUCGGCACCUUGCGCAUCCCAUUCUACUCUCUGCAUCAAGCAAGUCAGGCACGCAUGGAGGGCGUCUACCCGUUGCGCAUGCCGCGCUGGCUUCUCGGCUACCACACGCUGCUGCCACGUCGUUACUCGACGGAGGACGAGGCAGCAAGGCAGCACUUCUCCCCCGAGUGUGGAACCACGAGCGGCGGCACGGCCACGCCGGCGCCGAACCCGUUCGGCAGUUUCGAGCGCCUCCCUGCACGCCGCGCCGAGGGGGCUUCGGGCGCAGCAGCUGCAGCCCCACAGCAACUGGAGACAUCCGCCUCAGCCGUGCUGGCGCUGACAGUAGACAAUACGAGCAGCGACCGACAGAGCACCGAGCCCACGCUGCAGCUGUACAUGUCCCUCUGGCCACCUUUGCAGCGCGAGCCGCCACCGAGGCUCAGCCGCGCGGAGCUGACCCGCCAAGUAAGUGAGUUGAAUGUGUCGCCGCAGCUACGUUACCUGCACCAAGUGGCGCUGAAGUGGCAGCAGGCGGCCCUGAAGAAGGUCAAGGCGAUCGGCGCGAUGAACGCGCAGGCCUCGACGCGGCAGAUCGAGCCCUUCGUGAAGUGCUCGACCGGCGACUUGAUGCUGGUGUGCCGCUACAUUCUGCCCCGCGGUGGGCCCCCGCCGCCGUGCGUGCGCACCGUGCACGAGGCUAUCCGCUACGUCUCGCUACUCCCGCUCGUCGCGGAUAUGCUGUCGUGGGGUGAGAAGGACGUGUGGAACACGAAUGCGGAGCUGCUGGCGAUGCGCUCGGGCGACUGCGGGGAGCUCGCGCUGCUGCUCGCGCAUUUCUUGCGCUGCUUGGCGCCGGACCGGCCGACCUACGCCGUCCUCGGCAGCGGCACUACCACCUGCCAGCAGACCAUCAUGGUGCUCCACGCCUUCGACGACGCCGAGUGGAUGCUGAUCGACCCCCACUCCGGCUGGACCGUGUCGGCUGGCAAGCCCUAUGGCACGGUGCUGCGCGACGUAUAUAUGGUCAUCUCGCAUGACCAGCUGUGGGCGAACGUGCAGCUGUCGGGCUUUCCACACCGCAUGACGUGGGACCUUGCGAACCCGGCGCACUGGCUACCGUGCUUCGACAGCGCCAAGGACGCGCGCAUCGCCGUAUGCACGCCGCACCUGUUUCCGAUUCAGCGCGAUGUGCUGACGUUCCCGGCGGCCGAUCCGGUCAAGUCUCGCGAGAUUGAGCUGGAGCUGCGCGCCUGCCUAAAGAAAGCGCUACUGACGUGGCGCAACGGAUGCCCGCCGGCGUACCACCGCGGUGUAGAGGCAAUCCUGCGAGAGUUGCUGGAGUUGGCCGAGGCAGAGCGGUGCACGUGCGCGUCGGCGCGGCGCAGCGACAUCACGCUGAGCGCCGCGGCGCGGCUGAGCGAGUACUUUGGUGAGAACAUCACCGGCGAGCCGGAGAGUGACAUGAGUGCGGCGCAGCGCCGGCAGCAGCACAAGCGUCGCCAGCACCGCCACCGCCAUCGCAGUGGCGACAACGGCAGCAUAGGGCGUGAGGAGGAUGCCGCUGCUGUUCAACCAGGAACCACCACCCCUGUAUCCUCGAGCGUGAGCCCGCUUCGACUGCUCGGCUCGCCCGUAAUGGGCUCCUACAACCCGUCUGACCCACAGUUCCAGGAGCUGCUGCAGCAGGUGUUUGAGUGCGCAGUGCACGAGGUGGGCACGAGCGAGGCGAGCUUCGCCGUCGGUACGUACGUGAAGAGCUACACAGGUGACGUAUACGCCAUGUCAGUCUUUCUUGUCGCCAUCUGUCGCGGGUGACGACCUCAGUGACGAUGCUGCACCGCUCAGAGAGGGGGGGCGGUAUUGAGAAGAGGCGGACGGCGCGUACUGCAAGUUGGCAUCGUCGUGGCAGACGAACGGUUUCGUGGCGGUGCUCUCCUCCCCAAUGCAACCACCCACACACCCCUUUCCACCGCCGUCGGCACUCCGCACGCAGUGCGAACGCUCCGAAUGUCGCAGGACACGCCCAUCCGCCGCUGCACUGCGGUGCGUGGGCGCGUACACGAAGAGAGUGCCGAAGAAAAGGAAUACAACGCCUCUUGCACACUCAUAAGACGCACCGCCGUGUGUGUGUGUGUGGGUGUGUGUGUGUGUGUAUCGGCGAAGGGGGCAGGGCACAGCGUCUGCGCUGCGGUGCGGUGCGUGGGCACAUGCCGCACAUGUGGUAUCGCCGCGGCACAGGUGUGGUGUGGAGCAGCACACAACAGC